AAAGUCUGACCGAGCAACGCCGCGUGAGUGAAGAAGGUUUUCGGAUCGUAAAGCUCUGUUGUAAGUCAAGAACGUGUGUGAGAGUGGAAAGUUCACACAGUGACGGUAGCUUACCAGAAAGGGACGGCUAACUACGUGCCAGCAGCCGCGGUAAUACGUAGGUCCCGAGCGUUGUCCGGAUUUAUUGGGCGUAAAGGGAGCGCAGGCGGUCAGGAAAGUCUGGAGUAAAAGGCUAUGGCUCAACCAUAGUGUGCUCUGGAAACUGUCUGACUUGAGUGCAGAAGGGGAGAGUGGAAUUCCAUGUGUAGCGGUGAAAUGCGUAGAUAUAUGGAGGAACACCAGUGGCGAAAGCGGCUCUCUGGUCUGUCACUGACGCUGAGGCUCGAAAGCGUGGGUAGCGAACAGGAUUAGAUACCCUGGUAGUCCACGCCGUAAACGAUGAGUGCUAGGUGUUAGGCCCUUUCCGGGGCUUAGUGCCGGAGCUAACGCAAUAAGCACUCCGCCUGGGGAGUACGACCGCAAGGUUGAAACUCAAAGGAAUUGACGGGGGCCCGCACAAGCGGUGGAGCAUGUGGUUUAAUGCGAAGCCACGCGAAGAACCUUACCAGGUCUUGACAUCCCGAUGCUAUUCUUAGAGAUAGGAAGUUACUUCGGUACAUCGGAGACAGGUGGUGCAUGG
This 679-nucleotide ribosomal RNA is filed under the name Streptococcus mutans. RNAcentral describes it as "bacterial SSU rRNA". It matches the Rfam family "Bacterial small subunit ribosomal RNA", at positions 378 to 1048 of the family's 1533-position model. The record is from RNAcentral. Lineage: Bacteria; Bacillati; Bacillota; Bacilli; Lactobacillales; Streptococcaceae.